AUGUUUGAUGUAGGGCUGUUUCGAAUCAAACAACUACAGGAUGAGACGGUGAACGAUUUUUUCGUCCGGUUACAGACAGAGAUGAAGGGUGCAGUUAUUCCAGAAAACAUCGUGGUCGGAAUGGUUAUUCAAGCACUUAAUGGGAAAAUUGGCGAGAAGGUUUACUCAAGAGUUCCCCAACCAUUAACACUGACGGAGGUAAGAGAAGCAGCGUUGCAAGCAGAGCGAGCUGUCAAACUAAAUUCAGAAGACCAUGGUGCAUCUAUAGCGAAUCUUCAGACGAUGCUAGAGAACAUGAGUACAACGUUGAUGGCAAUUGGAACAGGGCAGCAGCAGCAGCAACAACAACAGCAGCAUCAUCAGCAGUAUCAACAGCAGCAGCAUCAGCAGCAGUAUCAACAGCAGAACCAGCAACACAGAGAGUACGACGGCGGUUACAACAAUGGACAGAGUCGACAAUCAAGACAGACCAUCAGGGAGGAGGAUAAAGUCUGCUAUAAUUGCGGUACGUUGUGUAAGCGUAGUAAUAAAAGGUGCCCUGCUUUUGAUAAAAUAUGCCAUAAAUGUAAAAAACAAGGUCACUUUGGUAGAGUUUGUAUUAAUAGUAGAAGCCAAGAAAGAUAUAGAAAUGAUAGGGGUACUUAUAAUCAUAAUAACAAUUUUCACAAACGUGGGUUUUAGGGAUUCGCGCCUGUCCGUAGGCGUCAGUCUGAGGAUAGGCACAAAGGCAGAUCUUAUGCAGAGGUGAAUUUGGCGACAUCUAUGCAUAAAAAUACUACUGUUGUAGAUGUGCAAGGCAGAAAAACGCACAGCCUUGUAGACACAGGCGCACAAAUUACAUGUUGCAGCUCAGAUUUUUUUUUAGUAAAUUGCCCUUUAAAGAUAAUAAGCUUUGCAAAUCUGAGUAUUUUAACAUAACAGGUGUUGGAGGUACACGUUCACGGGUAUUAGGCAAAAUUUUAUUACCACUGUCAUUUAAAGGCACUGUAUUUCAACAGUACGUACAUGUAAUUGAAGGUCUUCAGCAUUCUUUGAUUAUAGGAGUAGAUUUUAUGUUGUCACAUAAAGUUAAAAUAGAUUUUGACACACAAACAUUAUGUUUUAAAGACACUGAACAAGAAAUCUGCACUUUUAAAGCUAAUACUGGACUUGCAAGGUCAUUGUUAACUGUAACUAUACCCCCACAACAUGAGACUAAUAUUAGCAUAAAAAUUUCAAAACGAAAUUCAGGGGAUAUAGUUCUUUUAGAACCAAAUGAUGAAAUACAGGGUUUAAAUCUGAUGAGUGCAAAGUGUUUGGUUAAAAUUAACAAAGGAAAAGCAGUCAUUAGAGUUUUGAACCCUACAAAGAAAUCAGUUACAAUUCAUGCAAGUAAAGUUUUAGCAACUGUGUCAGACAUUGAAAUAGAGUCAAUACAAGAGUUAAAUGAUGCACCUACAAAUGAUGCUAACAUACAUGCAAUAGAUACAGAAAAUAACAAAACGAAAACACGCAUUGAUUUUGAUUUAAAGAAUUCUGACUUAACACAAGAGCAAAAACAAAAGCUUUUUACAUUUUUGAAUGGUAAUAGAGAUGUUUUCGCUACAAGUCUUUCAGAGUUAGGUCAUUCAAAAAUAUACAAACACAAAAUAGAGACAUACAGAGACGCAAAACCAGUGAAAAGACCAUUCUACCACCAGUCGCCGCCUGUUGAAAAGGAAAUUAGCAGACAUGUCGAAGAGAUGGAACGACACAACCUGAUAAAGCCAUCAAAUAGUGAGUACCAUUCUCCCGUGGUUCUUGUGAAAAAGAAACAGUCAGGGCAAUGGAGAUUUUGUUGUGAUUAUCGUUUGCUCAACAAGCAAACAAUUCCUAUGUCCUUUCCAUUGCCUAGGCUUGAAUGUGUCUUUGAUACAUUAGGAGAAUCACAAGCAAAUAUAUUCUCAUCACUUGAUCUUUAUAGUGGCUUCCAUCAAAUUGAGAUGGACGAGGAAACAAGGCACAAAUCUGCAUUCAUUACACGAAAUGGUGUUUAUGAAUGGCUUCGUUUACCUUUCGGUCUCAGAAACUCUCCUGUCAGUUUUCAGAUGAUCAUGACUCAAGUGCUCAGAGGGUUAAAUUGGAAAUUUGUUUUGGUCUAUGUCGAUGACAUUCUUAUCUUUAGUAAAACUUUUGAGGAGCAUCUUAGGCAUCUAGAACAAGUAUUUAACAGACUCCGAGACGCAAAUCUUACAUUGAAACCAACCAAAUGUGAGUUUGCAGUCAAAGAAGUCAAAUACUUAGGUCACAUCCUAUCAAAACACGGAGUUCAGGUGGAUCCAUCUAAAACGGAUGCUGUUAGUUCAUUUCCGGUCCCUAAAAAUCAAAAACAGGUUAAAUCUUUUCUGGGCAUGUGUAGUUACUAUCGGAAGUUCGUUGAUUCUUUUGCUAACAUUGCUUCUCCUUUGAAUGCUUUAUUGAGAAAGGAUUUUGAAAAGAAAUUUCAUUGGACUUCGUUAUGUCAAGAAGCUUUUGACAAGCUCAAAAAGGCUUUAUUAUCAGCACCGAUCUUGGCAUAUCCUGAUAUGAACAAACCUUUUAUGCUGACUUGUGAUGCUAGUAGUACGGCAAUUGGGUUUGUUUUAGGUCAAUUAGAUAGUCAAGGUCGAGAGCAUGUCAUAGCUUAUGGAGGUAGAAGUUUGUCUAGGGCAGAACGAAUCUGGUGCACCACAGAACAAGAAUGUUUAGCUGUUCUAGAGGGUGUCAAACAUUUUCGUGCUUAUUUGACUCGUCGAUUCAGAAUUUUCACAGAUCACAAGGCUCUUAAAUAUUUGAUGGAUCAAAAGGUUGCAGUCGGUAAAUUAGGUCGUUGGGCUCUUAAAUUACAAGACUUCGACUUUGAUAUCGUUCACAAACCAGGUAAAAACAAUGAGGUGGCAGAUGCUCUCAGCAGACGCACAUAUACUGAAGUGGCUGAUGAAAAUAAAACAUCGCCAGUGAAAGUGUUUGUUGCAAAUGCAAAUGAAAAUGAGUUUCUGUCAGAUACAAUUGAGGUUAAUGCUUGUGAGACAGAUCUAGAGGUAGACAAUAAAGGAGACGAGGACUUGGAGAGUGUAGAGCUCGAAUUAUUUUAUGGAGACUAUACACUUCUUGCUCCUCUAGAUCCUGAAGUCGUCAAUAGUGAGUUAUUGGACAUUCCUGCUGUAGGUCAGUUACAACAAGUUGACCCAGAUUUUCAGGAUAUGUUUAAUUACUUGCAAAAUGACGUUUUACCUCAAAGUGAAAAGGUUCGACAAAAAGUUCUAGCAGAAUCUCAAGAUUACUCGGUUUGUGAUGGUGUUUUGUAUAAAUGGUUUCAAAAGAGGUUUAAAACGAGUCCAGAUGAAAAGUACAUUAAACAAUUAUGUCUUCCAUUAGCUCUCAGACGUCAUGCUUUGCUAGCUUAUCAUGACUUGAAUUAUGGUGGUGCACACUUAGGAUUGGACAGGGUUUUGGCUGCUUUGAGACAAAAAUAUUUUUGGCCAAAAAUGCACCAAACAGUCAAAGACCAUGUUCUUUCUUGUGACAGGUGUCAACGAAUUAAGGUUGACCAUACACGCAAAAAUCCACCUUUAAAUCCUUUGCCAGUGGUAGGUCCAUUUGAUCGAUGGCAUAUGGAUUUCUUAAAGCUGAGCAAGACAAACAAAGGUGAAACAUACUUGCUCGUUUUGGUUGAUAGUUGUAGUAAGUGGGUUGAAGCAUUUGCUAUGAAAACACAAGAGGCUUCUGAAGUUGCAAAGGUCUUGUUCAAAGAGGUUUUCUCUAGAUUUGGCGCAGCAAGGUUUUUGGUUAGUGAUCGUGGAAAAAGCUUCAUGAAUAACUUAGUUCUGUCGUUAUGUGAGAUAUUUGAUGUUACAAGAUAUCAUACUAGCUCGUACCAUCCUCAAACAAAUGGGUUAGUAGAAAGGUGCAACUCAACUCUGAUAAAGUCUUUCAGAGCAUACUGUGAUAAGGCUCAAAAUAAUUGGCCCGAUAAAUUACCCGGAAUUUUAAUGGCUUUACGCAAUUCUCCUUCAACUCAAUCAACUGAGUUUUCUCCCUUUCAUUUGCUGUUUGGUAGAGAAAUGAAUCUACCUUUUGACACUUCUGUUACACCUAAACAGAAUUUGUCAUCAGAUGCCAAGCUUCAAAUGGAAGAAGUUCUAUCAAAUCUAAAGAUCACACAAGAUCUUGCCACUAAAAAUAUGUUAGAAAAACAGUUAAAAUCUAAAAGAGCGAUACGACCGAAAUUCAAAAAUUCCACAAUUUAA
This 4247-nucleotide small RNA is filed under the name Mytilus galloprovincialis (Mediterranean mussel). The record is from RNAcentral. Lineage: Eukaryota; Metazoa; Mollusca; Bivalvia; Mytilida; Mytilidae.